This 253-nucleotide ribosomal RNA is filed under the name uncultured bacterium. RNAcentral's name for it is "partial 16S ribosomal RNA". It matches the Rfam family "Bacterial small subunit ribosomal RNA", at positions 524 to 776 of the family's 1533-position model. The record is from RNAcentral.
UACGUAGGUGGCAAGCGUUAUCCGGAAUUAUUGGGCGUAAAGAGCGCGCAGGUGGUUAAUUAAGUCUGAUGAGAAAGCCCACGGCUUAACCGUGGAGGGUCAUUGGAAACUGGUUGACUUGAGUGCAGAAGAGGGAAGUGGAAUUCCAUGUGUAGCGGUGAAAUGCGUAGAGAUAUGGAGGAACACCAGUGGCGAAGGCGGCUUCCUGGUCUGCAACUGACACUGAGGCGCGAAAGCGUGGGGAGCAAACAGG